Molecule: long non-coding RNA, 6679 nt
Organism: Neofelis nebulosa (Clouded leopard)
Lineage: Eukaryota; Metazoa; Chordata; Mammalia; Carnivora; Felidae
Exons: 3
Source: RefSeq, a predicted model, not a curated record
AUUGGUAUUUUAUCAGUAGAAAUAUGAAGUAAUGGCAACUGACUGAUGGCAUAUAAUAGAGGAAGGAAGAGAGGGUUUUGGAGGCUGCAUUAUGGUAGUUCUGAGGAAAAUAAGGGGAAAGGACUCAAAGCCUUCUAGAAUAGGCUAUCAAAGGGGAAAAAGGAAGAAGGAAAGAUGGAUAGCCUGUUGUAGGUGAGAACACGCUGAAGAGAGAGCAUAAUGAGAAAAUGGGUGAUGUGAAAUGACCUUCUUUCAGAUAGCUUAACUGAAAAGAAUGUAGUUCAUACCGCAUGUCUCCAACACUAAUAAAACUGCUAUUCCCUAAACUGUUUGCUAAAUGGCAAUGGCUAAGAAGCCGGAGAGAACUGGGGAAAGAUUGGUAUCCAUGAACACUCCCUUUGGUGGGAAAGAUCCUUCCAGUUUGAAUCUUUAGGCAUUUACGUUUAUGAGAGAAACUUGAGUUGAACCAGCAGUUGUCAAAUGAACGAGUGCUGGCAUGAACUUCCCAGUUUUGUCUUAUACCACAAAGCCCUCAAAAGUCCUCCUAUAUAGGGUUGGUCCUGGAAACAGAUCUUACUGGAGAGGAAAAGGUGAGGACAUGCUGCUUUUUCUCUGUGCCCCAUAGUUUUAAUUGAGCCUCAAGUGAAUUUCCUUAGAAGUCAAUGGCGGCUCCAUGUCCCAGAAGGGACAGGGGAAGUGUGUGAAACAAGAUGAGAGGUGGGACCAUUAUUCCCAGAACUCUUCUGACUUCUUUUUAGACCCUGGUCAAGGAUAGAGCUGUUUGUUGUAAUAAAAUAUCCAGUAGCAGGAAGUUGAAAUGGAGGUUAUACUAAAAAAAGACCCCCCAAACAAAACAAAACAAAAACUCAUGCUAAUUUUAGCUCCAUUCAAAACCUAGGGGGAAAAAAAUCAAUGUUUACAAAAUUAAGAUUAAUGGGCUGCCAAAAUUCAACUCAUUAGUUAGCAGCUAUGUAGUGAUGAAGUGUGUGCCGGUUGGAUUUAAAGGAAAUUAAAACUGUAUCAUUGGGAAUGCCUGUCCCCUUAACAUUUUGGCUUAAUGAUUAUGGACUUUUCUACUAAAAGUACUGGUAGCCAAGGAGUGGGUCUAAAAAUCCCUAGCUAAGAAUUUACCCACUUCACUUGACAUGGAGAGGGUCUUGUCAGGAUAUGUUGAGUGCUGAAGAUCAUGGUUAUUACAGCUUAAAAGCUUUUACAGAUAUUGAUCCAGACAUUAGAGUGACCCUCCUUGUGUAGAUAAAACACUCCCAGAGACUUGAAGGAAGUGUACCAGGAAAAGGCAAACACUGAGACUUCUUCCUUUUUGACAAAUAUGGAACUCUUUUCCUCCUUCCAGGAAGUACUGCGUUGAGAUGAAAGCUAUGGAAAUCCUAGGAUGGGUUUGAACUGGUUGUGUGUAAAGGUUUUGCCUUAUACAAUAUCUGUGGGCAUAAGGUGGACAUAUGGCAGGCUGGCCUAGGGGGAUAAUUGCAGAAAAGAAUGAUAGAACUGAGCAUGUUUAUAAUGCUAAGCUGAGGUAACACAGGCAGAAGUUUCUAGCACAAUGUCUAGCACAAAAUAAGGAGUAGAAUGGUCAUUUGGUAUUUCUAUUUUUAUAGUCACAUUUAUUUAUUUUAGUUCAACGUUUAGAGUUGCUUUAUUGCUUCAUUGGGAAAUCUGAAUUUAACCUUCUGACUAGUGAUCAGUAUAUCAGAAAAAUGAUAUUUUACUUCAUGUAGGUCUUAUAACCAGCCUUGGCCUGUAAGAGUUCUCUGAUUUCAGAAAACAGUGGUGAACAUUUGUCUUUGAAAAUUCCAGGGGCACCUGGGUGGCUCAGCCUGUUAAGCAUCUGACUCUUGACUUCAGCUCUGGUCAUGAUCUCACAGUUCAUCGGUUCGAGCACCACGUCAGGCUCUGUGCUUUCAGUGAAGAGAUUCUUAGCUUGGGAUUCUCUCUCUCCCUCUCUCUCUCUCUGCCUCUCCCCUGAUGACACUCACAUGCUCUCUCUCUCUCUCUCUGUCUCUCAAAAUAAAUCAAUAAACAUUAAAAAAGAAAAGAAAAUUCCCUUAAAGUUCUAUGAAAUGUAAUUCUGGAUUUCCUUGAGCCUGAUUUCUCCAUGUUAUAUGUGGAAAGAAGUUAGCAGUUAUAGCAGUUGGUUUUCAAAGGAGCAAAUGGAAGAGUACAUUCUUUCACAGAAGCUUUAUAGGUGGAAGGGGCCUUCAGAAUCCUCUGAAUGUAAGUGAGGCUUACUGUUCACGUGAAGAAACUGUUUUCUCCAGAGUCACAAAACUAGUUAAUGGCAGAGAAGGGAUUAGAGGCCAGCUCUUUUGAUUUCUGGGCUAAUAUUCCUUUUCCUCAGUAGAAGAUUAGAAACCUCUUAUUUCUUGUCUAAGUCUUCUGAAUAGCCUUCUGAGGCCAUGUAAAUUAUAUGCUGGAUAAAACAUAGGCUGACUUGAAAGGACACCUUUCCUUACAAGGUGGUGGGAGACAGGUCAGUGGGAUUGAGUGUGUUUUUAUUGCAGUCUUUCCAUGCCCAGUUGCUGACUGUCACAGGCUAGCCCAGAAGGAUGGACAGGAUUAAAGGAUCUAUAGCUAGUCCCUCCCGGGCCAUCAUAUAACCACAGGUGUGGUUUUUCUUUUACUGUAGAUCAGCUACCAAGAGACUGCUCUGAGUGGAAACAACAUUCCCUUGAGGAGUUAGGGAAGAUGGGGAGGGCAGCUUAAGAUUCCAUGGAGUAAUAUGAGAAUUCUCUGCAACAGUGGAGUCUGGCAAUACUUCUGUCUUUGCCCAUCCUUAGUCUGCUCUCGAUUCUGAAAAUGCUAAGUGAAGGAUGCAAAAGAAAGACUAUUCCUUACACUUACCCCUCAGUGUAUGUUUGUGCCUGUUUGGGAGAAGAGAGAGCGAUGCUAGGUUCAUGAAAUUCCUAUAUAUUAGUAGAGAUUGGAGGGUUUAGCUAGGAGAAAGUGAAGAAUACAUCAAUGGAAUAGGGGAAAAGAAUAAAUAAGAACUAGAGCUAAAAAUAAUUUCAGGUUGCUAAUCAUUAUAAAGCUGAUUAAUUUAAAAGAAGUUAAAAGUGCAGAUAAGAUCCUGGGUAGCUACCGCAUCACAGAAUCUUUGAGACCACAGUUUCCAGUCAGUAGAUGUUACCAGAAGAGUUAAUUAGCCCAAACUGUGGCUGCUAGUUCUUUAGCUGUCUUCAACUUGAAGUUUUUUUUUUUUUUUUUAAUAAGUUUUAGAGCUAAUUAGGAUACACCUGGGACUCAUGGCUAAAGCCAAUAGAGUUUCCCCUGGGGGAGUUACUUUUUAUAUACCAAAAUUUAAAAAAAGGAAAAAUGUCAGAUGAAAACAUCAUCUUUAGAUUCAGGGAAAAAAAAUGGCAUAACCAUUUCAACUCAGCAGACCACAAGGCCAAACAGGCUUUGGCUAGAAUUGAAUGCUGUGUGCUUCUGUUCAGAGAAGAGGAUGCUUCCCAGAUGUGUCUGGGGGACUACCUGCCUCACUCUUAUUUAUCAUCAGAUCUCACACAGGAUGUGGUGUCGCUGGCUGGUAAUCUGGAAAUGGCCUGUUUAUUUUUACAGAUCUGUAGAAAAGACUCAAUAGUUGUAAAGGAUGGAAGAGUGCAAAGCAGCUUGGAACUCACAACAAAGGAAACCGGGACGAAAAAAAUUAGAUAAAACAACUGGGACCAUGGGAUCUGCUCCUUGUGCCUGUCGAACAAAGAUGCUAAAUGGAUUUUCUCAUUUCAAAGGAAAGCCAAUUCUUCCUCCCAACCCUGCAGCCCAUGAUUGUAGAACAUCCAGACACCAUUUUUUUUUUUUUUUUUUUUUUUUUUUUAAGUUCAGGGAACCUUGGUAUUCUUUUCAACACCAGGACUGGUUGGUUCCUUUAUGAGUUUCGUAAAGAAAAGAAACCUCCUCCAGAGCUGCUUAGGCUGGUGAUUCUCUGUCUCAACCAGGCCUUUCUGGAUAAUUUCCCUCAUGUUAAAACCCUGCAGCAGACUGGAGAAAGAGGAUUCUCCAAAUGCUUGGCUGGGAUAGUGUUGCUGCUAAGUUCCUGCUUCUCCUGAAGUGUUAUCCUGAGUGUAACAACUUUCUGUUCUCUCUCCUGAGAAGAGAUAUGCCUGAGUUCUUGCAGUACCCUGGGACAUAAUUCAUUAUGGCCAGAAUGGAUUUGCUGUACAUACAAGUCAUACUUCUAACCUGCCAUGUCCAUAGGUAUGUAAGGAUCUAGGAUGAAGCUGAGAGAAUUCUAUCCUGCUGGUCAUACUCAGAAGGUCUCUAAGCCCACUGAUGACAGGAAAAUCUUCAGUGGUUCCAGAGACAAGCUGCUGGAAAUCCUGCACAUUUAUCUUCUAGAAGGAAGUGAGCUGAGUAGGAUAGUGGUACCUUCAGAAGGUACCUACCCCAAAACUUGAAAGAACUCCAAAGUAAGCCAUGUCCAUUUCUGGGACCCUAAAGUGGCUCAUGAAAGUCAGGGUCCACUUGCUUAGGUUAGGUGAUUUCAAGCCUUGAGAUUCUAAGGGGCGAGUGAAGGUGGGAAAGGGGAUGGUGAAUAGAUUGUGAGAACUUAUCAAAUAAUAGGACGUCUCUUUAAUUCCAAGCAUCAUGUUCUAUUUCACAUUGUAUCUUUCAAUUAAAAAAAGGAAAAGGAAAUGUGUCUUUUUUAAAAAAGAUAUUUUACUCUAUUAGUAUUCAGUACAUAAUAUAUGAGUGCACAUUCAUCAUUCAUUAGAUCUAGGUAGAUCACAACCUAAUUUACAAAUUCAAAAGCAUAAGUCAGAUCAACUCAAUUGCUCAAGGCCAUGUAUUCGUAAGCCAGGAGUAUGCACUGAAUAUUUCCUGUCCUUGGACUGCUGUACUGGGCAAUGCUGCUUUUCUAUAAGAAUUUGUUCAUAUGUUGAAUUUAACACAGUUUUGCUUAGCAGUUUAUAACACUUCACCUACGUGCACUUGUGUAAUAUAAAGUAUAAAAUUAAGUCAAUGAUCUACAAAAUUCAGAGCAAAGUAAUCUAAAUCAUUUGGAUCUUCCUAGAGAUUCUGAUUUCUUUUUUUUUAAUUACACAAUUUUUUAAAUGUUUAUUUAUUUUUGAGAGAGAGAGGGGGUGGGAGGGGCAGAAAGAGAGGGAGACCCAGGAUCCGAAGCAAGCUCUAGGUUCUGAGCUGUCAGAAAAGUGCCUGACAUGGGGCUCGAACUCAGAACGGUGAACUAUGACUUGAACUGAAGUCGGACACUUAACCACACAGCAGCCCCAAUUUCUUUUUAACCUGAAAAAAUAGGUAAUUACUCAAUAGCCUUAGCUCUAAGAUAUAUCUGACAGGCUAUUUUUAUUUGUUUGGUUUUCAGAAAUCAUAUCCAUGCGUUCUGCCCUCUGUAGUUUUUAGCAAAAUGAAUCAAAGCCACUCUGUACCCAAAGAUAACACCAGUGUUGUCUUUUUUUUCCUUCUAAACAUUGCAGUGCUUUACUUCAAGUGCUAUGCAGUAAAUUUACAGGGAAAGAAAAAUUUUAUUAAAUUAUAACUGAGAGGAGCUGAUUUUUUUACAGAGCAAACAAAAAAUUCCUUCAUGAAAGGCUAUAAAACCCAUAUUAUUUACCAGAGAGACCUUUCCUGUCUCCCAGGUAAACACUUACAGUGUGUAGACUUGUGUAAAUACAUAUUUAGGAGUGGCUAAAUAUGGCGAGGUAUUUUUAAAGGUGUAUUUACAAAGCUGAAUACAUAUAUUGGCAUUUCGGUAUGUGGAAGUCGCGUAUGCUGUUCUGCCGUCUAUUCAAAAUUCUAGCAGGACUCUGGUAGAUACACCUUGGAUAAUGGGACUGAGUUUCAAAACAUUCAUCUUUAAUCACAAUUACUAAGGACAGGUCCUUAAAUCAUUUCAAAAGGGUGAAAAUUUUCAACUAAUGGAAUUCGGGUCCUUCUUGCCAGUCUGACUUGAGGAAAAUUGUUCCAGAAAUGUGGCAUCAUUAGCGGAAGCAGAUCUCCUUUCUGAACAUCUUUGUGCAUAAAAUAACUGCCAUUUCACAUUCGGUUUAGAAUGUUACCAAAUAGUCAAAGAGACAGUUCAUUUGAUGGAUGGGUCAGCCAGGAAAUUUUAGUUAAGAGGGGAAAUAUCAUCAAGAUAUUUUUAAAAUACUUUAAAACACAUGAAAAUGUAAGUGAUAAACGCUGUCUGUUGCUAAUUCAAUAGCAGGAAGCUUCCUAUGAUAAUGUAGUGAAGCUCUGUCCAGAGGAUUCCCAGUGUCUACGUUCCUUUUUUACUUCUUGGAAAAUGUGUCUGUUGAGGAAAAGAAUGCGAUCGUAACAGAGGUUGUAGACGCAUGAAAGAGCACUACGACCUCAGCUUCUGUUGUCUGCUGCGCCUCAGAUUGAAUGAGGAUCCCAUUUGUGUAAAAGCCUGUUUUAAGAUAGACAAGUUGAGACUCUAAAUAGCUCUAGAGCUUGGACUAUCUCAGGAGCCUUUGGCUAAGAAGUCUAAACAAUGCUGCUAUUUCAUUUUUAAUGCAGCUUUUUCUAAAUGCUCUCAAUAUCCUCCAGUGGAGUAAUUGAAAAUCUUAUUAUGAGAAACCAUGUGGGGACAAAGAUUAUUCAAUCAGUGAAAUGAUUUCUCCAGUAAAUUUGAACUGGGCUGAGUUUUUUAACUUUACAAAAAUAUACAUCAUAUGUACAGGUCUUUCCCUAGGUCCCA